Molecule: ribosomal RNA, 459 nt
Filed under: uncultured bacterium
Lineage: Bacteria
Description: partial 16S ribosomal RNA
Rfam family: Bacterial small subunit ribosomal RNA
Source: RNAcentral
CCUACGGGAGGCAGCAGUGAGGAAUAUUGGUCAAUGGUCGGGAGCCUGAACCAGCCAAGCCGCGUGAGGGAUGAAGGUACAGAGUAUCGUAAACCUCUUUUGUCAGGGAACAAAGGCGGGGACGUGUCCCCUGAUGCGUGUACCUUACGAACAAGCAUCGGCUAACUCCGUGCCAGCAGCCGCGGUAAUACGGGGGAUGCGAGCGUUAUCCGGAUUUAUUGGGUUUAAAGGGUGCGCAGGCGUGCUUUUAAGUCCGCGGUCAAAGCCCGGGGCCCAACCCCGGCCCGCCGUUGAAACUGGCAGUCGCGAGUUGGAGAGAAGUAUGCGGAAUGCGCGGUGUAGCGGUGAAAUGCAUAGAUAUCGCGCAGAACUCCGAUUGCGAAGGCAGCAUGCCGGCUCCACACUGACGCUGAGGCACGAAAGCGUGGGUAUCGAACAGGAUUAGAUACCCCUGUAGUC